This 364-nucleotide long non-coding RNA is filed under the name Capra hircus (goat). RNAcentral's name for it is "lncRNA (ENSCHIG00010017069.1)". Lineage: Eukaryota; Metazoa; Chordata; Mammalia; Artiodactyla; Bovidae. The record is from RNAcentral.
AUGUGUUUGAUCUCAUUCCUAAAAAAGAACUCACAUUUUCCUUUAUACUUAUUUUUUUCCCUUGAAAGGUUAUUAAAUUCAUUGGAGAAUGAGUGUUGUCCUGAAUUUGUUGCUUUUCCGUCUGCUAAUUCAGUCCAGUGUUGUUCAGUGACUACUUAGUGCAAGGUCCAGGCAAGAUACUGCAGAAGAAACUUAGAAUCUGAAUCAACGACCUGUAAGGAACUCAACGCAGGACACAAGAGAAGAGGUAAGCAUUUGAAUGUUAGGGAGAGACUCAAAACACAAGAAGAAAGGUCAUGAGACAGUGUUUGCUGAGUAUGGGAAAUUAAUCACAUAAAUGAUAACACCCCAGAGGGUUCUGAGG